UGAGGAAUAUUGGUCAAUGGGCGAGAGCCUGAACCAGCCAAGUCGCGUGAAGGAUGAAGGUCUUAUGGAUUGUAAACUUCUUUUAUAAGGGAAUAAAAAAGAUCACGUGUGGUCUAUUGCAUGUACCUUAUGAAUAAGCAUCGGCUAACUCCGUGCCAGCAGCCGCGGUAAUACGGAGGAUGCGAGCGUUAUCCGGAUUUAUUGGGUUUAAAGGGUGCGUAGGCGGUUUGUUAAGUCAGUGGUGAAAGUUUUCGGCUCAACCGGAAAAUUGCCAUUGAAACUGACAGACUUGAGUGUAAACGAGGUAGGCGGAAUUCGUGGUGUAGCGGUGAAAUGCUUAGAUAUCACGAAGAACUCCAAUUGCGAAGGCAGCUUACUAGGCUACAACUGACGCUGAAGCACGAAAGCGUGGGGAUCAAACA
RNAcentral lists this ribosomal RNA (422 nucleotides) under uncultured Porphyromonadaceae bacterium. RNAcentral describes it as "partial 16S ribosomal RNA". It matches the Rfam family "Bacterial small subunit ribosomal RNA", at positions 355 to 774 of the family's 1533-position model. The record is from RNAcentral. Lineage: Bacteria; Pseudomonadati; Bacteroidota; Bacteroidia; Bacteroidales; Porphyromonadaceae.